Molecule: non-coding RNA, 21 nt
Filed under: Arabidopsis thaliana (thale cress)
Lineage: Eukaryota; Viridiplantae; Streptophyta; Magnoliopsida; Brassicales; Brassicaceae
Source: RNAcentral
CUUCUCAUUAUACGCAGCCUG